CCGGCACAUUUAAGAUGUGGUUAUUCCCCGCGGUGGACAGUAACUUAAGUAGGCCUACUGUACUGAAAUAUAAAUUAGAGCACCUAAAAUAUUUUUCAUCAGCCGCCACUGAAUAAAGAGAUGAAAAACUACGAGUUUCACCCGGAUUCUGACACUGGUAGCACUGAAGUGGACGAAGCAGAUUACCACCUGCUGCUGUCUUCGCCCACUAAAUCUGCACACUGUUAUUCAUCCUGCUCUUGUGGCUUACUUAACAAGGCACUUUAUUGGUAUCAACCCCAAGAGGGGAACAAAGGCCAGCCAGGGGAAGGUGGUGUACAAGAAGACGGGGAAGCUGGUCCAGAAAAAGGCAGCAACUGUGAAUCCCCAUGUGGUCACCAUUAUAAAAAAAAAACUUCCUGGACUUUGAGUGAGGCUUUGUGUGGUCCAAAACACAAUUCCACACAGGAGCUCUUUUAAACAAAAAAAAGCCCUCACAGAUACCAGAUGUUCAUGCAGUAAUAGGUAACAUGUCUCAGCAUUGUGUUCUGUUUAGUAUAGCUGAGUCCACUUGUCUGAGUUGAGUAGUGGUAGUUUCAUGUUUGUUCUUUCACUCGCUUUCCAUUGCAUGUCAUGAUUAUAACUCAUGGAUACUGAAGGCAGGGUACAGUUCUAAGUAUAGUAUGCAAGUUGUAGAAAGAUUGUUGAGAACCUGCUUGAGAUUAGUUGUUCUUAUGGAUUGUAUAUUUUACAAGAAUUACAUUAAUUGAAAUUUGUUAGCUACUUAAUGUGUUUGAAGCAGUGGCUUUAAUAAAUAAUGUUACAUGGCCAUCUCUUGUCAUAGUUAAAGACAAAAUUUAACUGAAUAACUAUAAGGUAGGCU
Micropterus dolomieu (smallmouth bass) is the source of this 862-nucleotide long non-coding RNA. RefSeq lists it as uncharacterized. Lineage: Eukaryota; Metazoa; Chordata; Actinopteri; Centrarchiformes; Centrarchidae. The record is from RefSeq and is a predicted model, not a curated record. The transcript is spliced from 3 exons.